CCCUGACUCAAGAAAUUUAGUAUGUAAUAAUAUGGAACUAAACUAGGAGUAGUUGUAGCAUUCACUAACAUGCUUAUCCAUGCAUUAUUUCAAUUGUGCCUUUCUUGAGCCUGUAAUGGUUAAAUGCUGUCUGGUGUCAGAAACCAGGUCGUUGUAUUUUUUGUAUGAAUUGUUUCUCAUUUUGUUAUGCCUGACUGGAAUACUAUAUAGGUUUUCCUCAUUAUUGAAGGCUGUACAAUUACCUAAAAUUGCUUUAAUCAAUGUCAUGUAGACUCUGUUGUUAUCCAUUCGUUUUAUGUGUUUCAGCUUUUGAUUUUGCCAUUUUAUAAGGGAUUUUCCUUUUUGAAUUUCCCUCGGAGUUCCAUAUUUGUGUGAUUUUACAUUGGAUAGUUGUCUCAAUGGCAAUCAUACCACAUGUCCCUUUAUGUAUACAGUGUAACCUGUGUUAUCCGACACACUGGGGUACCAGGAAAAAAUGUUGGAAUGCAUAGGGUGUUGGAAUACUCAGUUUUUUUUCUGCAAGGAUAGCACAUUUGGGGCCUAUGUGAAUUGUUCAUCCUAAUAAUCUAUUAUUGUUUUGAUAAAAUAGAUGCAAAGUUCUAUAUACACUGUUUAUUCAUAUUAACAUUUAGCAUUUAAGAGUUGCAAUUACAAAUAGAAUAGUCAUUAAUCAUGUCACAAAAUAAAUCAAUAUGUCAAUAUGUUGUUGGUACAUGUAGCUUGUGUGCUAAUAGUAUAAAUAAUUAAUUUGAAAUAAUCAAUUUAUUUUUUUGCAUGGUGGACUCAAACUAAUAAAGGCUUCCAACCCUAUUGGAACAGUUCUAAAGGAAAUCAGGCAUUUGAAAUGAGCUCUUUGUAGUAAACAAAUUAUAGUUAUAAGAUACAAUUAUGGAUAUACAAAAUAUAAUACAUUAUCUAUAUAAUUAAAUGCAUCUUAAUUGUGACCAAGUAGGCUGUCAUAUUACAUAGGAAGUGAAAAUUCUCAGUUAAAAAGUUUAUUUUUAAAAGCCUUAUUUGUAACUACACCAAUACACUUGUGCUCAAGUGUUCUGUACUAAAGUCAUGCAACUCUCAAAGGAAACUUGAGUCUUUCUUUUGGAAGAUUAAAAUCUCUUUGUAUUUUUCUUUAUUUCCUUUUUCCCUUUUUUUUGGAGAUUCUUUUUAAUUGUUCUGUCUGUUUUAAUACACUGGAAUUUUCAUAUAUUUUUUUCUUUUGUAUUUUAAAAACUUCCUUUUUCUCAGGGAUUUCUCUAAAAAUUCAACUGGUUGUUAAAGGGAAACUUCGCAAAAAAAUCAAAAAUUGAUAUUAUGUUUAUUCUGUAUAAAAAUGCUCAAAUUCAUAGAUAUUAAAGUUUUAUUCUGCUAGAUAAGAGAUCACCAUCAAUUUUAAAUUUAGAGUAUCAAUUCUCUGCGGUCAGCCAUUUUGUCACCUUCUCCGAUUUGCAGUCACGAUAUGUCUAAGGACCAAAACUACAGUAACCCGAUGUAGUCGUAAUUGCGUGUCGAUAUCUCGUCAAUCGUAUGGUUGUGUUAUCCGACUAGUUAACUAGUAAACUAACUUGAUACGGAAAAUAAUUUCUCUCUUUUUUUUUUAAAUAACC
Molecule: long non-coding RNA, 1601 nt
Filed under: Mytilus galloprovincialis (Mediterranean mussel)
Lineage: Eukaryota; Metazoa; Mollusca; Bivalvia; Mytilida; Mytilidae
Source: RNAcentral